GUGCAGUGCAUUGUGGGAUAGGUCAUGCUGCACAUUUUGACAAAUUUAGUAAGUCAUGCACAAUUUUUGCAUACUAUGCACUGCUAAGUCUAUACAGCAGAAAGUAGUAUGCUAUUGUGAUCAUUCUGCGCACAGAAAAGACCAACACUGGCUCACUGCAAAUGUGUACUAAAAUAAAAGUGGGGACAUUCAGUUUUGCAGUUUGAUAUUAGAUUUAAAAUGUUUGCCGUGAUGUCCUUUGCUCUCUUUCCGCGCGAGAGGCCUUUGUAAUCUCACACCGGUAGCAGGGGUGAGAAAACACGAACACACAAAAAACAAAUGCGUUGUUUAUUUGCAGCACACAAUCUCAUUCUGUGUUUCAGAGUCUCUGGAGGAAGUCUUUCAGUCGCCCUUCACCUCGCUGUGGGUCCCGAUCAGCCCGCGUGUCGUCUGUCAAAUCUCCACACGGGAGAAGAAAAAGACUCAGGAUGAGGGAGAGACGCAUCUGAAUCCAUUCCCCGGCACACAUUCUCUGAGACUGUGGCAGGGCCGCUUGACUGUUACUGGGGAAACAGAUGAUGAGAGAGCGCGAUGACGAACCCACCGGGGACUGAAGAGGUGCGUUCAGCUGACAGCGAAAGUGGCCCACUUCAUUCAUCUCCACCAAUG
Cyprinus carpio (common carp) is the source of this 648-nucleotide long non-coding RNA. The record is from Ensembl. Lineage: Eukaryota; Metazoa; Chordata; Actinopteri; Cypriniformes; Cyprinidae.